Long non-coding RNA from Saccostrea cuccullata (small rock oyster), 913 nucleotides. RefSeq lists it as uncharacterized. The record is from RefSeq and is a predicted model, not a curated record. Lineage: Eukaryota; Metazoa; Mollusca; Bivalvia; Ostreida; Ostreidae. The transcript is spliced from 2 exons.
GUUAAUGUCUGGGUAUUCAGUAUAAAGUUUCAAGUUUGUUUUAGAAACAUUCAAUAUAAUGUUUCAAAGUUUUUAAUGGUAAUAUUCAGUAUCAUCCUUCAUAGUCAUGUAUUAGUGUUUGUGGAAAUAUUCAGUACAAUAUUUCAAUAUUUUAUGUUGAACAAUAAGUAUAAUGUUUGAAUUUUGAUUUGGAAACAUUUAGUAUUAUGUUCCAAGGUUUGAUGGAAACAAGUAUGGUGUUUCAAAUUAUUUGUGGAAACAUUCAGUAAAAUGUUUCAAAGUUUUGUGGAAGAUGCAGUAUAAUGUUUAAGAGUUUUGUGGAAACAUUCAGUAUAAUGUUUCAAAGUUUUGUGGAAAUAUUUAUUAUAAUGUUUCAAAGUUUUGUGGAAACAUUCAGUAUAAUGUUCCUAGUCUUAGUGGAAACAUUCAGUAUAAUGUUUUAAAGUUUUGUGGAAGCAUUCAGUAUAAUGUUUCAAAGUUUUGUGGAAGCAUUCAGUAUAAUGUUUUAAAGUUUUUGUGGAAACAUUUAGUGUAAUGUUUCAAAGUUUUGGUGGAAGCAUUCAGUAUAAUGUUUCUUAUCUUAGUGGAAACAUUCAGUACAAUGUUUCAAAGUUUUGUGGAAACAUUCAGUAUAAUGUUUCAAAGUUUUGUGGAAACAUUCAGUAUAAUGUUUCAAAGUUUUGUGGAAACAUUCAGUAUAAUGUUUCAAAUUUGUUUUGGAAACAUUCAGUAUAAUGUUUCAAAUUCUUUUGGAAACAUUCAGUAUAAUGUUUCAAGUUUUUUGUGGGAAAAGUUCAGUAUAAUGUUUCAUAGUGUUUGUGGAAACCUUCAGUAUAAUGUUUUCAAGUUUUUGAAAAAACAUUCUGUCUAUACUAUUUUAUACCUUUGUGGAAACAUUCUGAACAAUGGUUUA